AGUUGGUAGAGCUCCGCUCUUGCAAUUGGGUCGUUGUUUCGAGUCCGCUUAUCUCCAGCCCGUGAUCAAUACA
RNAcentral lists this transfer RNA (73 nucleotides) under Ephedra przewalskii. RNAcentral describes it as "tRNA-Ala". The record is from RNAcentral. Lineage: Eukaryota; Viridiplantae; Streptophyta; Gnetopsida; Ephedrales; Ephedraceae.